Molecule: ribosomal RNA, 844 nt
Filed under: human gut metagenome
Description: bacterial SSU rRNA
Rfam family: Bacterial small subunit ribosomal RNA
Source: RNAcentral
GGGUAGCCGGCCUGAGAGGGCGACCGGCCACAUUGGGACUGAGAUACGGCCCAGACUCCUACGGGAGGCAGCAGUGGGGAAUAUUGCACAAUGGGCGCAAGCCUGAUGCAGCGACGCCGCGUGAGGGAUGGAGGCCUUCGGGUUGUAAACCUCUUUUGUUAGGGAGCAAGGCACUUUGUGUUGAGUGUACCUUUCGAAUAAGCACCGGCUAACUACGUGCCAGCAGCCGCGGUAAUACGUAGGGUGCAAGCGUUAUCCGGAAUUAUUGGGCGUAAAGGGCUCGUAGGCGGUUCGUCGCGUCCGGUGUGAAAGUCCAUCGCUUAACGGUGGAUCCGCGCCGGGUACGGGCGGGCUUGAGUGCGGUAGGGGAGACUGGAAUUCCCGGUGUAACGGUGGAAUGUGUAGAUAUCGGGAAGAACACCAAUGGCGAAGGCAGGUCUCUGGGCCGUUACUGACGCUGAGGAGCGAAAGCGUGGGGAGCGAACAGGAUUAGAUACCCUGGUAGUCCACGCCGUAAACGGUGGAUGCUGGAUGUGGGGCCCGUUCCACGGGUUCCGUGUCGGAGCUAACGCGUUAAGCAUCCCGCCUGGGGAGUACGGCCGCAAGGCUAAAACUCAAAGAAAUUGACGGGGGCCCGCACAAGCGGCGGAGCAUGCGGAUUAAUUCGAUGCAACGCGAAGAACCUUACCUGGGCUUGACAUGUUCCCGACGAUCCCAGAGAUGGGGUUUCCCUUCGGGGCGGGUUCACAGGUGGUGCAUGGUCGUCGUCAGCUCGUGUCGUGAGAUGUUGGGUUAAGUCCCGCAACGAGCGCAACCCUUAUUGUUAGUUGCCAUCAUUUAGUUG